ACCAGACUCCUACGGGAGGCAGCAGUGGGGGAUAUUGCACAAUGGGGGAAACCCUGAUGCAGCGACGCCGCGUGAGCGAUGAAGUAUUUCGGUAUGUAAAGCUCUAUCAGCAGGGAAGAAGAUGACGGUACCUGACUAAGAAGCCCCGGCUAACUACGUGCCAGCAGCCGCGGUAAUACGUAGGGGGCAAGCGUUAUCCGGAUUUACUGGGUGUAAAGGGAGCGUAGACGGCGAUGCAAGCCAGAUGUGAAAGCCCGGGGCUCAACCCCGGGACUGCAUUGGAAACUGUAUAUCUAGAGUGUCGGAGAGGCAAGUGGAAUUCCUGGUGUAGCGGUGAAAUGCGUAGAUAUCAGGAGGAACACCAGUGGCGAAGGCGGCUUGCUGGACGAUGACUGACGUUGAGGCUCGAAAGCGUGGGGAGCAAACAGGAUUAGAUACCCGGGUA
This 445-nucleotide ribosomal RNA is filed under the name uncultured bacterium. RNAcentral describes it as "bacterial SSU rRNA". It matches the Rfam family "Bacterial small subunit ribosomal RNA", at positions 330 to 792 of the family's 1533-position model. The record is from RNAcentral.